RNAcentral lists this ribosomal RNA (506 nucleotides) under uncultured Bacteroidota bacterium. RNAcentral's name for it is "bacterial SSU rRNA". It matches the Rfam family "Bacterial small subunit ribosomal RNA", at positions 905 to 1382 of the family's 1533-position model. Lineage: Bacteria; Pseudomonadati; Bacteroidota. The record is from RNAcentral.
CUGCGCCUUGCCAGCCCGCUCAGAAACUCACAGGAAUUGACGGGGGCCCGCACAAGCGGAGGAGCAUGUGGUUUAAUUCGAUGAUACGCGAGGAACCUUACCUGGGCUUAAAUGCUUAAUGACGUACUGGGAAACUGGUAUUUCUUCGGACAUUUUGCAAGGUGCUGCAUGGUUGUCGUCAGCUCGUGCCGUGAGGUGUCGGGUUAAGCCCCAUAACGAGCGCAACCCCUAUUGUUAGUUGCCAUCAGGUCAUGCUGGGGACUCUAACAAAACUGCCCGCGUAAGCGUGGAGGAAGGUGGGGAUGACGUCAAAUCAGCACGGCCCUUACGUCCAGGGCUACACACGUGCUACAAUGGCCGGUACAGAGGGCAGCCACUUGGUGACAAGGAGCAAAUCUCAAAAGCCGGUCUCAGUUCGGAUCGGAGUCUGCAACUCGACUCCGUGAAGUUGGAUUCGCUAGUAAUCGUAGAUCAGCAAUGCUACGGUGAAUACGUUCCCGGGCCUU